Molecule: long non-coding RNA, 246 nt
Filed under: Crocodylus porosus (Australian saltwater crocodile)
Lineage: Eukaryota; Metazoa; Chordata; Crocodylia; Crocodylidae
Description: lncRNA (ENSCPRG00005009285.1)
Source: RNAcentral
GUGUGGAUGUUCUUAAUGUUGCUACAGGAAGUGGUAAAAAAAUUGCAGAUGAUUUAUUGCUCCUAAUGCAAACCAUGCAGAAAGCAUCUACAUAACGGACUGGUGGAUAAAUACUGAGAAGGGGGUGACUCUCCAGCUUCCAGGAAAGAAGGAAGGUGCAUAAAGCUUGCAAUUUUCCCUGGGAUGAUCUCAGACUGACGCGUUCGAAGCAGCUAUAGGAGCAGUAUUGAUCAAAUGUGACACUGG